This 420-nucleotide ribosomal RNA is filed under the name bacterium. RNAcentral's name for it is "partial 16S ribosomal RNA". It matches the Rfam family "Bacterial small subunit ribosomal RNA", at positions 355 to 776 of the family's 1533-position model. The record is from RNAcentral.
UGGGGGAUAUUGCACAAUGGGCGAAAGCCUGAUGCAGCGACGCCGCGUGGGGGAUGAAGGCUUUCGGGUUGUAAACCUCUUUCGCUAUCGAACAAGGCCCGCUUAGGGUGGGUUGAGGGUAGGUGGAGAAGAAGCGCCGGCUAACUACGUGCCAGCAGCCGCGGUAAUACGUAGGGCGCGAGCGUUGUCCGGAAUUAUUGGGCGUAAAGGGCUUGUAGGCGGCUUGUUGCGCCUGCUGUGAAAACGCGGGGCUUAACUUCGCGCGUGCAGUGGGUACGGGCAGGCUUGAGUGUGGUAGGGGUGACUGGAAUUCCAGGUGUAGCGGUGGAAUGCGCAGAUAUCUGGAGGAACACCGAUGGCGAAGGCGGGUCACUGGGCCAUUACUGACGCUGAGGAGCGAAAGCAUGGGUAGCGAACAGG